This 393-nucleotide ribosomal RNA is filed under the name uncultured bacterium. Its description in RNAcentral is "partial 16S ribosomal RNA". It matches the Rfam family "Bacterial small subunit ribosomal RNA", at positions 523 to 918 of the family's 1533-position model. The record is from RNAcentral.
AUACGGAGGAUGCGAGCGUUAUCCGGAUUUAUUGGGUUUAAAGGGAGCGUAGGUGGGAUAUUAAGUCAGCUGUGAAAGUUUGGGGCUCAACCUUAAAAUUGCAGUUGAUACUGGUUUCCUUGAGUACGGUACAGGUGGGCGGAAUUCGUGGUGUAGCGGUGAAAUGCUUAGAUAUCGCGAAGAACUCCGAUCGCGGAGGCAGCUCACCGGGCUGGAACUGACACUGAUGCUCGAAAGUGCGGGUAUCAAACAGGAUUAGAUACCCUGGUAGUCCGCACAGUAAACGAUGAAUACUCGCUGUUUGCGAUACACGGUAAGCGGCCAAGCGAAAGCGUUAAGUAUUCCACCUGGGGAGUACGCCGGCAACGGUGAAACUCAAAUGAAUUGGCGGGG